Molecule: ribosomal RNA, 658 nt
Filed under: Eucereon punctatum
Lineage: Eukaryota; Metazoa; Arthropoda; Insecta; Lepidoptera; Erebidae
Description: partial 28S ribosomal RNA
Rfam family: Eukaryotic large subunit ribosomal RNA
Source: RNAcentral
GGGUAAACCUGCGAAACUCGAAUGAACGAACGGAGAGAUUCAUCGUCAAUCCGCGGCGUGCGCGACGCGCGCUUCGAUGUCGCCGGCCUCGGCCUGGUGGCACGACGCGCGUCCGUCUAUGUCCGCGGACGGCGUGCACUUCUCUCUCAGUAAAUACAUCGCGACCCGUUCGAUGUCGGUCUAAGCGCCGUUCGGGAGCCCCAUCGGACCCUCUAAACGGGGUCCGGUUGGACCGCGACGGUUUGCCGACCGGCCGUCGGACGGUAGUUCUGACGAAACGCGCACGCGUUUAUAACGCGUCCGGCCCGACGCAAGUCAACGUCGUAUCCAGCGUACCGCCUAAGCGCGGACGCAGGUGCGGCGCGUCUGUUGUCGCCGCCGUGCAGUCUCGGACCGUGCGCGUCUCUGUCUGCGAUGAUUCAGUUUCGGGCACUCGCAGGACCCGUCUUGAAACACGGACCAAGGAGUCUAGCAUGUAUGCGAGUCAUUGAGACAUUUUAAACUGAAAGGCGCAACGAAAGUGAAGGCGCGCGCUCGCCGCGCGCUCAGGGAGGAUGGAGCGUCGGUCUAGGUCGAUCUCUCGCACUCCCGAGGCGUCUCGUUUCCAAUCCGUGAAUGUAGGCGCGCUCUGAGCAUAAAUGCUGGGACCCGAAAGAUG